AUUGAACGCUGGCGGCAGGCCUAACACAUGCAAGUCGAGCGGAUGAAGGGAGCUUGCUCCUGGAUUCAGCGGCGGACGGGUGAGUAAUGCCUAGGAAUCUGCCUGGUAGUGGGGGAUAACGUCCGGAAACGGGCGCUAAUACCGCAUACGUCCUGAGGGAGAAAGUGGGGGAUCUUCGGACCUCACGCUAUCAGAUGAGCCUAGGUCGGAUUAGCUAGUUGGUGGGGUAAAGACCUACCAAGGCGACGAUCCGUAACUGGUCUGAGAGGAUGAUCAGUCACAUUGGAACUGAGACACGGUCCAGACUCCUACGGGAGGCAGCAGUGGGGAAUAUUGGACAAUGGGCGAAAGCCUGAUCCAGCCAUGCCGCGUGUGUGAAGAAGGUCUUCGGAUUGUAAAGCACUUUAAGUUAGGAGGAAGGGCAGUAAGUUAAUACCUUGCUGUUUUGACGUUACCAACAGAAUAAGCACCGGCUAACUUCGUG
Molecule: ribosomal RNA, 484 nt
Filed under: uncultured bacterium
Lineage: Bacteria
Description: partial 16S ribosomal RNA
Rfam family: Bacterial small subunit ribosomal RNA
Source: RNAcentral